CAGAGAAAUAAGCCUGGCAAAUUAUUAUGAUGCCCCAAUCCUUAGUCGCCUAAAUUUAUAGAGCCAGAUAUUUCUAUAAUUCCAAUCUCUUUGAUGCAAAUUUUAGCAACCUGAGCUAGACUUGGCGAAGUAUUUGGGCCCCAUUCCUUUAUUAUCAUAGGGAGGUAGGUGGCGAGUGGGAGCAGGAUCCUCUAUUUUAGUAUGGUAAGACCCUUGGCUUUUGGAUCCCCAGCAACAUCAUCCUUCUUCUAUGAUUCUAGAAUGGUUUGAGGAUUUGAGGGUCAUUGACAUAAUUUAGAACUCGGGGGUGCUUUCGCAAUUAAUGGAACCUUGUCCAAGACCUUUUUAACCAAAGGGAUAUAAGUCUCAUUAAGUAGAUUCCCCUCUUUUAAAAUGAUCAAGAUGACUCCUGGUAUUGGUGCUUUGAGCCUAGUGGCAUAUAUAUAGUGAAAAGUUG
This 457-nucleotide unclassified non-coding RNA is filed under the name Hevea brasiliensis (rubber tree). Lineage: Eukaryota; Viridiplantae; Streptophyta; Magnoliopsida; Malpighiales; Euphorbiaceae. The record is from RNAcentral.